Molecule: transfer RNA, 73 nt
Filed under: Methanobacteriota archaeon
Lineage: Archaea; Methanobacteriati; Methanobacteriota
Also listed under: 1 other name
Description: Euryarchaeota archaeon tRNA-Thr
Rfam family: tRNA
About the family: Transfer RNA (tRNA) molecules are approximately 80 nucleotides in length.
Source: RNAcentral
GCCACCCUAGCUCAGCCGGUAGAGCAGCCGCCUUGUAAGCGGCAGGUCGGGAGUUCGAUUCUCCCGGGUGGCU